AGUGUAGGCGGUUACCUAAGUCGGAUGUGAAAUCCCCGGGCUCAACCUGGGAAUUGCAUUCGAUACUGGGUAGCUAGAGUUUGGUAGAGGUAAGUGGAAUUCCGGGUGUAGCGGUGAAAUGCGUAGAUAUCCGGAGGAACAUCAGUGGCGAAGGCGGCUUACUGGACCAAAACUGACGCUGAGGCUCGAAAGCGUGGGGAGCAAACAGGAUUAGAUACCCUGGUAGUC
Molecule: ribosomal RNA, 228 nt
Filed under: uncultured bacterium
Lineage: Bacteria
Description: partial 16S ribosomal RNA
Rfam family: Bacterial small subunit ribosomal RNA
Source: RNAcentral